RNAcentral lists this long non-coding RNA (353 nucleotides) under Mytilus galloprovincialis (Mediterranean mussel). Lineage: Eukaryota; Metazoa; Mollusca; Bivalvia; Mytilida; Mytilidae. The record is from RNAcentral.
GUUACUUGCUAAUUUUUGUUAUACCCCUUCCAAAUUUAUUUCUCCAUGUUUUAUGCCUCAUAUAGCAAGUUGGGGGGGUGAAAUGACACUGUAAAAAAAUUUGGGUCAUAAAUAUUAAUGUAAAGUAGUGAUUAGGUCCAGCUGAAAAAGGUCAAAAAUUAGCACUUCGGAAGCUGUCAAAAGAUUUCAAGACCCCCUUAACACAAAAUUGUCCAUAUUUUGAGUUAGAGCUGAUGAAGUUUUCUAUAAUUUUGAUAUAAUUUGUCCCAAAAGUAGUACAACACACUGUAAAAAUAUUAUUGAGAAAGCGCAGGUGGGAUUUUUUUUAAUUUUCAUUUAUUGUCUAAAAGAAU